AUGAUUUCUCAGCCUUUUGACUAAGAUCAAGUGUAGUAUCUGUUCUUAUCAGUUGAAAAAAGACCAAUUGGAUGAAAUUUUUAAAAAAUUUUUUAUUCAUUUAUUUAUUUGAAAUGCGGAGUAACAGGGGUUGUAGAAGACAGAGAGAAAGAGAGAGAUCUUCCAUCCACUGGCUCACUCCCCAAGUGGCCUCAAU
Molecule: small nuclear RNA, 196 nt
Organism: Lepus europaeus (European hare)
Lineage: Eukaryota; Metazoa; Chordata; Mammalia; Lagomorpha; Leporidae
Product: U2 spliceosomal RNA
Exons: 1
Source: RefSeq, a predicted model, not a curated record